GGGCUUGACAUCCCACGAACCUGCCUGAAAGGGUGGGGUGCUUUUCGGAGAGCUCGGAGACAGGUGGUGCAUGGCUGUCGUCAGCUCGUGUCGUGAGAUGUUGGGUUAAGUCCCGCAACGAGCGCAACCCUCACCCCUUGUUGCCAUCAGGUAAUGCUGGGCACUCUAGGGGAACUGCCCCGGUCAACGGGGAGGAAGGCGGGGAUGACGUCAAGUCAUCAUGCCCCUUACGCCCUGGGCUACACACGUGCUACAAUGGUCGGUACAAAGGGAUGCGAGACCGCGAGGUGGAGCCAAACCCAAAAAGCCGGCCUAAGUUCAGAUUGGAGUCUGCAACUCGACUCCAUGAAGGAGGAAUCGCUAGUAAUCGCGUAUCAGCACGACGCGGUGAAUACGUUCCCGGGCCUUGUACACACCGCCCGUCACACCACGAAAGCCAGCUGUACUCGAAGUCGCUGAG
This 460-nucleotide ribosomal RNA is filed under the name uncultured bacterium. RNAcentral describes it as "bacterial SSU rRNA". It matches the Rfam family "Bacterial small subunit ribosomal RNA", at positions 977 to 1434 of the family's 1533-position model. The record is from RNAcentral.